CUCCAAAUGUCUAUGUGGGCAUUCACCUGCAAACCCAUGAAAUCUAAGCAGCAAAUUUGUAAGUCCAGAGGUGAGAACGCAAUGAACAUCAACCUCAUCAAGUGGAAUCGGCUCACAAAGAGCACUCUCAAGAAUGGAAGGAUAAGUCAUAUUGUUCUCAACAUAAAAAUCAGCAGAAUAUGCGUGAGAAGCACUAUCAGAGGCACAGGUAGAAGAAAAAGUAUCCACAUAGCCAAAAGAGGUAGACAUGCGAAAGAAGGGGGAAAAGAAGAAUGCAAUGAAAAUAUGCAACUAAACCUACCUAAAUGCAACACACAAUGACAAACACAUGAAACAGAACAUCACACUCACAACACAAGACAAGACACAACACACAAUAACACAGCAAAAGACCUAAAACCAAACCGUUGGUCCCCGGCAACGGCGCCAAAAUUUUGAUGGAGGUCGCACCCCAUGCAAAAUUUAAUGAGCAUAAAAG
RNAcentral lists this long non-coding RNA (478 nucleotides) under Vigna radiata. Its description in RNAcentral is "long non-coding RNA (VRAD_LNC009905)". The record is from RNAcentral. Lineage: Eukaryota; Viridiplantae; Streptophyta; Magnoliopsida; Fabales; Fabaceae.